Molecule: long non-coding RNA, 1285 nt
Organism: Biomphalaria glabrata
Lineage: Eukaryota; Metazoa; Mollusca; Gastropoda; Planorbidae
Exons: 2
Source: RefSeq, a predicted model, not a curated record
GAUAUAUUUUAAUUUAGUUUUAUUUUCUAGUUGGCAGCUUUUGUUUUGAGCAUGUUGAUUUAAAGAUGGCGGCGCCCAUCAGUCCUGCUUUGAGAGAGACAAUUUAGGACUGGAAGAUGCAAUGUGGAAAUUUCUUUUGGUUAUAUCCCUUUGACCAAACAAACAAAAAAAAAAUUCAAGACAACCCCAAACAGGAUACGAAUUCAUGAUAAUGGACCAAAUGGACUACGAAAUUGUUAAAAAAAUAAAGCAAAACCAAACAAAAAAAAAAAAAACACUAUCUCAAUAUGGACACGAUUGAUUUAUAGAAUAUUCUUUAACUAAUAAAUUUAUUCAGAAAAUGAGUUAUAUUCAAAUUUGAAAAAUUUUUAAGCUCUUCAUGCACAUACUUACUUUGUACAUUUUUGUAACUCUAGCAGACCCCAGAGAAUUCGUAAUGAUGUGAUAUAGGAUGGAGGUCUUUUGUCUGAGGUUCUUAAGGGAAAAAUUGUUGCAAAAAAUAAUAAUAAUAAUAAUAAUAAAAAUGAAUUUAAAUAACUCACAAGUCUUAAAAAAAAAAAAAAAAAAGGUCCUCAUUUUAUAGACCCUUGCUGUCAUCAUUUUAUGGACCCUUGCUGUCAUCAUUUUGUGGACCUUUUUCUGUCCUCAUUUUGUAGACCUUUGCUGUUCUCAUUUUGUAGACCUUUGCUGUCAUCAUUUUAUUGAACUUUGCUGUCAUCAUUUUAUUGAACUUUGCUGUCAUCAUUUUAUUGAACUUUGCUGUCAUCAUUGUAUGGACCUGUGCUGUCAUCAUAUUGUGGACCUUUGCUGUCCUCAUUUUGUUGACCUUUGCUGUCAUCAUUCUGUAGACCUUUGCUGUCAUCAUUUUAUGGACCGCUGAUGUCAUCGCUUUAUGGACCUUUGCUGUCAUCAUUUUAUGGACCUUUGCUGUCAUCAUAUUGUGGACCUUUGCUGUCCUCAUUUUGUUGACCUUUGCUGUCAUCAUUCUGUAGACCUUUGCUGUCAUCAUUUUAUGGACCUUUGCUGCAGCAUACUCUACGAUCAUGCCGGAAAUCCUGGAAUGUGUUUUUGAAACUAUUUCCUUCAUAAAAAUGUUGUUGUUAUGAAAUAUUCUUUGUAUUAUUACUAAUAUAAAUUAAUAUGUAAUGUGUUUUCUUUAAAAAGUCUACUCGAUGUCCAUGAUGAAAAUCAUGAAUUGUGCUUUUGAAACUAUGCCUUCACAAAAUUUUGUUUUUAUUAAAUAUUCUUUGUAUUAUUAUUGAUAUAAAAUAAUAUAUUAUGUCUU